This 698-nucleotide ribosomal RNA is filed under the name Salmonella enterica subsp. enterica serovar Mikawasima. RNAcentral describes it as "partial 23S ribosomal RNA". It matches the Rfam family "Bacterial large subunit ribosomal RNA", at positions 570 to 1269 of the family's 2925-position model. Lineage: Bacteria; Pseudomonadati; Pseudomonadota; Gammaproteobacteria; Enterobacterales; Enterobacteriaceae. The record is from RNAcentral.
GCGGUGAAUGCUUUGGGGUGGGGUGACUGCGUACCUUUUGUAUAAUGGGUCAGCGACUUAUAUUCUGUAGCAAGGUUAACCGUAUAGGGGAGCCGUAGGGAAACCGAGUCUUAACCGGGCGUUAAGUUGCAGGGUAUAGACCCGAAACCCGGUGAUCUAGCCAUGGGCAGGUUGAAGGUUGGGUAACACUAACUGGAGGACCGAACCGACUAAUGUUGAAAAAUUAGCGGAUGACCUGUGGCUGGGGGUGAAAGGCCAAUCAAACCGGGAGAUAGCUGGUUCUCCCCGAAAGCUAUUUAGGUAGCGCCUCGUGAAUUCAUCUCCGGGGGUAGAGCACUGUUUCGGCUAGGGGGCCAUCCCGGCUUACCAACCCGAUGCAAACUGCGAAUACCGGAGAAUGUUAUCACGGGAGACACACGGCGGGUGCUAACGUCCGUCGUGAAGAGGGAAACAACCCAGACCGCCAGCUAAGGUCCCAAAGUCAUGGUUAAGUGGGAAACGAUGUGGGAAGGCCCAGACAGCCAGGAUGUUGGCUUAGAAGCAGCCAUCAUUUAAAGAAAGCGUAAUAGCUCACUGGUCGAGUCGGCCUGCGCGGAAGAUGUAACGGGGCUAAACCAUGCACCGAAGCUGCGGCAGCGACACUAUGUGUUGUUGGGUAGGGGAGCGUUCUGUAAGCCUGUGAAGGUGUGUCGUGAGGC